Non-coding RNA from Myotis brandtii (Brandt's bat), 75 nucleotides. Lineage: Eukaryota; Metazoa; Chordata; Mammalia; Chiroptera; Vespertilionidae. The record is from Rfam.
GGUGGUUCUCGGGUGAUGCACCCCGGAAUCGAGCCCCCUCCUCUCUCGUUCCGGGUUCGUCAACUGAGAACUGCA